RNAcentral lists this ribosomal RNA (608 nucleotides) under Hymenochaete cana. RNAcentral describes it as "partial small subunit ribosomal RNA". It matches the Rfam family "Bacterial small subunit ribosomal RNA", at positions 405 to 946 of the family's 1533-position model. The record is from RNAcentral. Lineage: Eukaryota; Fungi; Basidiomycota; Agaricomycetes; Hymenochaetales; Hymenochaetaceae.
CUGAGUGACUAGCUACUGAAUCUUUGGUGUGUCAUCAAAGAUAACGUAAAGGAAAAUAAUGAUAUUACUUUACUAUUAGUGUCGUCCAAAUACUCGUGCCAGAAGACUCGGUAAGGCGAGAGACGCUAACGUUAUUCGUCUUGAUCAGGCGUAAAGGGUGUGUAGGCUGCUUUAAGUAUUUAUAUCUAAGUUUACCUUUUUUAAAUUUGGAUUGGUUUAACUAAAUUAAAUCAAAAACAACUUUUUAUUUUUAUAAAUAAUUACAGUUAACUAAUUUAAAAGUGUUAAUAUAACUCAAUUAAAGCUAGAAUCUAAAAGAGGUUAAAACAAUGUUUAAGGUAGGAGUACUAACCGAAAAUAUUAAAUAGAGUGCUAACGGCGAAGGCAUUUAUCCACUAAAGAUUGACGCUGAGAAACGAAAGUGAGGGCAGAAAAAAGGAUUAGAGACCCUUGUAUUCCUCACUGUAAACGAUGAAUGGUAGUUACUAGUAAGAAAUUAACUAGAGGCGAUGUUAACACGAAAACCAUUCCGCCUUGUGAGUACAACUGCAAAGUUGAAAACAAAAAAAUUAGUCGGUUUCGGAGCAAACGAAGUGAAGCAUGUUAUU